CAGUCGCCGCGGGAACACGAAGGGUGCAAGCGUUACUCGGAAUUACUGGGCGUAAAGCGUGCGUAGGUGGUGGUUUAAGUCCGUUGUGAAAGCCCUGGGCUCAACCUGGGAAUUGCAGUGGAUACUGGGUCACUAGAGUGUGGUAGAGGAUAGUGGAAUUUCCGGUGUAGCAGUGAAAUGCGUAGAGAUCGGAAGGAACAUCUGUGGCGAAGGCGACUAUCUGGGCCAACACUGACACUGAGGCACGAAAGCGUGGGGAGCAAACAGGAUUAGAUACCCCCGUAGUCCCUGUCUCUUAUAC
This 301-nucleotide ribosomal RNA is filed under the name uncultured bacterium. RNAcentral describes it as "partial 16S ribosomal RNA". It matches the Rfam family "Bacterial small subunit ribosomal RNA", at positions 509 to 807 of the family's 1533-position model. The record is from RNAcentral.